UGGCGCUAGACCUAGACCUACACUUGUACUUGUAGCGCUGAUUGAUUUCUGCGUCUUCGAUCAUACCAAAUUUGUAGUGUGUUUGAGAGGAUUUUGUCUUUGAGAACGCUUGUCAAGACUGCACUGCAUGGUGUGAGGGUACGGUGAUAUCAGCUGAGCGCUUGGCACGCGUGCACGGCAGCUGUCGAACAGGCAGGAUCGCUUGGCUGCUCCUUGCCACCGUACCGUACCUAGACUAGGCUACAAUGUAGGCUAGAGUGAACUGUUAUGAACGUAGUCAUUGUGAUCCUUACGACAUUAGGUGGGUGGCAGGACUUGUGAGGUUGGGACAAUCGCGAACGCCAUAAUCCUUUCAUUCGGAGGCUUGAUCGCUUAGAACCAGGGAGGGGAUUUUACGAAUCACCUGUAGAUUUACCAGUAGCUAGCAGGCGACGCGUGCUGUGUGUCGUGCGGAUCACUUUUCGUUCCAGAAGUCAGUUUUAGUUUCCCUGUAGAUCUUGUUCUGAGGCCGUUCGAGUGCUUGCUGGCGAAGAGCGGUGAUCUACUGUACGUGCACCAAGGGAUAGUCGUUCGCUGCAAGAUUCAACUCGUGGGAUUUGUCCGCUGUGAUCGCAUAUUAAAGCUUAGUCAAGUUCUCAAGCAGAGGGAGUGAGGAUGAAUCUCCGCUGGCUCUUCACCAUCGUGUGGUUCCUGCUGCUGUUGCUUCUAUGGCCGCUAUCGUUGCUCUGCGGAAUGCUGUACGGGCUGAUCCUGCCGUUCAGUGCCUGCUGCAAUUGCACGUCAUCUCUCACCGAUAUCCUUAUGAAGGGAACGCGCCUCGGCUACCACCUCGCCAGUAAGAUGGUGUCUGGCUCCGAUAGCUGUUAGCAGGCCCAGGCCUAGCUUGUGAGUGGUAGCGUCCAACACAAAUGUGUGUGUGUGUGUGUGUAUACCGGUAAGAUGUGUCUGACUCUCAGGGUCAAAGCUACUCACAACACAUGUAUGAGUGUCCAGUAGCCAACCUGAGCAACUGUGGCAAUCAACUGCUAUAAUCAUAUAGCUAUGUAGCGAACACUCUCCCCGGUGCUGGUGGGGCCUGCCUCCGUGUACUAUGAGGUCAAUGUUUGUUUUCUUCUGUGGGAUAGAAUCCAAAAUGAAGUAUAGCAAUCUUUGAAUUCCACGGCACCGGAGUUUCGCAGUCAGUUCAAGAGUUGACGCACUCCCAAGAUGUUUAUUCCGACACUAGAAAUGGCCUUUUCUAUAGCAAUUGCAGUCUCUUCACCAUAUCUAUUAUUGGACGUAUUGUUAUCAAAACGCUGUUCAUCCGGAGUAUAGUCCACUGGCGCAUGAGGUAACAGUGGUUGUUUAAUAACUCGAUUUUUAUUUCUCACGUUUUCUUUUUCGUAUCCUUUUUUACCAUUUUAGGCAUUGCGCUUUUCUUCAUUUAGAAGCUGGAAAGUAUUUAAAAAUCUCUAGGUUUUUAUUUGUGGCUUCAUAAAAUCUCGUCUUGGAGACCCUUGACUUUUCCCCUUUUAUUGGCAUAUUUUGUUUUGUUUUUUUGAUAUUAAUACACGGCUGAAGGUAGUUAUGGAAGGUGAUCUUAUCGGAUCAUUUCCAGUAAGAAUGCCUGGUCAAGAGUGAUACCUAAACUCAUUGCAUGUAAAGUUGUAAGCCGUAGUGGACUGGUCACAGUUAGAGUGAAUAUGGCCGUCUUCAGGUAACUGGCCAAGCAUACUCGUGUGGGUCUUA
Molecule: long non-coding RNA, 1728 nt
Organism: Sycon ciliatum
Lineage: Eukaryota; Metazoa; Porifera; Calcarea; Leucosolenida; Sycettidae
Exons: 2
Source: RefSeq, a predicted model, not a curated record